CUCAUAGCGUAUACUAAUGUUGCUGCAGUUAAAAAGCUCGUAGUCGAAUUUCAGUUUGCUUAUACUUAACCUUUUAGGCUUAUGUAUUGGCUUACUUUAUGAUAGAAACAUUCAUGCUAUUUAUUUAGUGUGUUUUGGGACUGUCUCUUUUACUUUGAGAAAAUUAGAGUGUUCAAAGCAGGUAUUUGCCUGAAUAUUACUCUUGGAAUAAUAAUAUAGGACUUCAGUUCUAGUUUGUUGGUGAUCUAGGACCGAAGUAAUGAUAGAUAGGGACGGUUGGGGUCAUUCAUACUGCAAAGCGAGAGGUGAAAUUCUUGGACCUUUGUAUGAUGAACAACUGCGAAAGCAUUUGACUAGGACGUACCCGUUGAUCAAGAACGAAAGUUGGGGGAUCGAAGACGAUCAGAUACCGUCGUAGUCUCAACCAUAAACUAUGCCAGCUAGGGAUGGGAGGAUGUUUUUUUAACGAUUCCUUCCGCACCUUAUGAGAAAUCAAAGCAUUUGGGUUCCGGGGGGAGUAUGGUCGCAAGGCUGAAACUUAAAGGAAUUGACGGGAGGGCACCACCAGGAGUGGAGCCUGUGGCUUAAUUUGACUCAACACGGGAAAACUUACCAGGUC
Molecule: ribosomal RNA, 619 nt
Filed under: uncultured eukaryote
Lineage: Eukaryota
Description: bacterial SSU rRNA
Rfam family: Eukaryotic small subunit ribosomal RNA
Source: RNAcentral